Molecule: ribosomal RNA, 501 nt
Filed under: uncultured bacterium
Lineage: Bacteria
Description: partial 16S ribosomal RNA
Rfam family: Bacterial small subunit ribosomal RNA
Source: RNAcentral
AUUGAACGCUGGCGGCAUGCCUUACACAUGCAAGUCGAACGGCAGCACGGGUGCUUGCACCUGGUGGCGAGUGGCGAACGGGUGAGUAAUACAUCGGAACGUACCUUAUCGCGGGGGAUAACGCAGCGAAAGUUGCGCUAAUACCGCAUACGCCCUGAGGGGGAAAGCGGGGGACCGUAAGGCCUCGCGCGAUUAGAGCGGCCGAUGUCUGAUUAGCUUGUUGGUGAGGUAAAAGCGCACCAAGGCGAUGAUCAGUAGUUGGUCUGAGAGGACGAUCAGCCACACUGGGACUGAGACACGGCCCAGACUCCUACGGGAGGCAGCAGCGGGGAAUUUUGGACAAUGGGGGCAACCCUGAUCCAGCAAUGCCGCGUGAGUGAAGAAGGCCUUCGGGUUGUAAAGCUCUUUUGUCAGGGAAGAAACAGCAGCUCUAACACAGUCUGCGAAUGACGGUACCUGAAGAAUAAGCACCGGCUAACUACGUGCCAGCCGCCGCGGUAA